This 2275-nucleotide ribosomal RNA is filed under the name Clostridium botulinum C/D. Its description in RNAcentral is "partial 23S ribosomal RNA". It matches the Rfam family "Bacterial large subunit ribosomal RNA", at positions 643 to 2925 of the family's 2925-position model. Lineage: Bacteria; Bacillati; Bacillota; Clostridia; Eubacteriales; Clostridiaceae. The record is from RNAcentral.
AGGUUAAGCACUUAUGGUGUGGAGCCGAAGGGAAACCGAGUCUGAAUAGGGCAACUAGUUGUAUAUUGUAGACCCGAAACCGAGUGACCUAUCCAUGGCCAGGAUGAAGCGGAAGUAAAAUUCCGUGGAGGUCCGAACCACGUUGGUGUUGAAAAACCAUGGGAUGAGCUGUGGAUAGCGGAGAAAUUCCAAUCGAACUCGGAGAUAGCUGGUUCUCCUCGAAAUAGCUUUAGGGCUAGCGUCGGGUAAUUGAGUAGUGGAGGUAGAGCACUGAAUGGGCUAGGGGCUGACAACAGUUACUGAACCCUAUCAAACUCCGAAUGCCAUAUACUUGUACCCCGGCAGUCAGACUACGAAUGAUAAGAUCCGUGGUCAAAAGGGAAACAGCCCAGACCAUCAGCUAAGGUCCCAAAGUGUAAGUUAAGUGGGAAAGGAUGUGGGAUUUCUAAGACAACUAGGAUGUUGGCUUAGAAGCAGCCACUCAUUUAAAGAGUGCGUAAUAGCUCACUAGUCGAGAGAUCCUGCGCCGAAGAUGUAACGGGGCUCAAACUUACCACCGAAGCUAUGGAUGUGUACUAUGUACACGUGGUAGAGGAGCUUUCUGUACAGGUUGAAGUCAUACCGUAAGGAGUGGUGGACAGUACAGAAGUGAGAAUGCUGGCAUAAGUAGCGAAAAACAAGUGAGAAUCUUGUUGACCGAAUAUCUAAGGUUUCCUGGGGAAGGCUCGUCCUCCCAGGGUUAGUCGGGACCUAAGCCGAGGCCGAAAGGCGUAGGUGAUGGACAACUGGUUGAUAUUCCAGUACCACCAUAAUGCGUUUGACAAAUGGGAUGACGCAGGAGGAUAGGAUGUGCGCACUAUUGGAUGUGCGUCUAAGCACUUAGGGUGUUAAGUAGGCAAAUCCGCUUAACAUUAAGCCUGAGGUGUGAUGGGGAGCCUAUUUUGGCGAAGUAUCUGAUUCCACGCUGCCAAGAAAAGUCUCUAUGGAGCAAAAUGGUGCCCGUACCGCAAACCGACACAGGUAGAUGAGGAGAGAAUCCUAAGGUCGUCGGAAGAAUUAUUGCUAAGGAACUCGGCAAAUUGACCCCGUAACUUAGGGAGAAGGGGUGCCUACGAGAGUAGGCCGCAGUGAAUAGGCUCAAGCAACUGUUUAUCAAAAACACAGGUCUCUGCUAAAGCGUAAGCUGAUGUAUAGGGGCUGACGCCUGCCCGGUGCUGGAAGGUUAAGGGGAAUAGUUAGCGCAAGCGAAGCUAUGAACUUAAGCCCCAGUAAACGGCGGCCGUAACUAUAACGGUCCUAAGGUAGCGAAAUUCCUUGUCGGGUAAGUUCCGACCCGCACGAAUGGCGUAAUGAUUUGAGCACUGUCUCGGCAAUAAAUCCGGUGAAAUUGUAGUGCAAGUGAAGAUGCUUGCUACCCGCGGUUGGACGGAAAGACCCCGUAGAGCUUUACUGUAGCUUAGCAUUGAAUUUCGGUAUUGUCUGUACAGGAUAGGUGGGAGACUUAGAAGCGAGGGCGUCAGCUUUCGUGGAGUCGUCCUUGGGAUACCACCCUGACAGUACUGGAAUUCUAACUGGAGGCCAUGAAUCUGGUCACAGGACAUUGCUAGGUGGGCAGUUUGACUGGGGCGGUCGCCUCCUAAAAGGUAACGGAGGCGCCCAAAGGUUCCCUCAGCGCGGUCGGAAAUCGCGCGUAGAGUGCAAAGGCAGAAGGGAGCCUGACUGCGACACAUACAGGUGGAGCAGGGACGAAAGUCGGGCUUAGUGAUCCGGUGGUUCUGUAUGGAAGGGCCAUCGCUCAACGGAUAAAAGCUACCUCGGGGAUAACAGGCUGAUCUCCCCCAAGAGUCCACAUCGACGGGGAGGUUUGGCACCUCGAUGUCGGCUCGUCGCAUCCUGGGGCUGUAGUCGGUCCCAAGGGUUGGGCUGUUCGCCCAUUAAAGCGGCACGCGAGCUGGGUUCAGAACGUCGUGAGACAGUUCGGUCCCUAUCCGCCGUGGGCGUAGGAAAUUUGAGAGGAGCUGUCCUUAGUACGAGAGGACCGGGAUGGACCAACCUCUGGUGCACCAGUUGUUCCGCCAGGAGCACAGCUGGGUAGCUAUGUUGGGAAGGGAUAAACGCUGAAAGCAUCUAAGCGUGAAGCCCACCUCAAGAUUAGAUUUCCCAUAGCGUAAGCUAGUAAGACCCCUGAAAGACUAUCAGGUUGAUAGGUUGGAGGUGUAAGUACAGUAAUGUAUUCAGCUGACCAAUACUAAUAGGUCGAGGGCUUGAUCAAAUU